This 585-nucleotide ribosomal RNA is filed under the name Basidiodendron olivaceum. RNAcentral describes it as "partial large subunit ribosomal RNA". It matches the Rfam family "Eukaryotic large subunit ribosomal RNA", at positions 25 to 632 of the family's 3401-position model. Lineage: Eukaryota; Fungi; Basidiomycota; Agaricomycetes; Auriculariales; Exidiaceae. The record is from RNAcentral.
UCGCUGAACUUAAGCAUAUCAAUAAGCGGAGGAAAAGAAACUAACAAGGAUUCCCCUAGUAACGGCGAGUGAAGCGGGAAGAGCUCAAAUUUAAAAUCUGGCGUCUCCGACGUCCGAGUUGUAAUCUGUAGAGGCGUUAUCCGCGGCGGACCUCGUACAAGUCCUUUGGGAUGAGGCGUCAUAGAGGGUGAGAAUCCCGUCCGUGACGAGGACUACCGUUGCUUUGCGUUGCGCCCUCGAAGAGUCGAGUUGUUUGGGAAUGCAGCUCAAAACGGGAGGUAAAUUCCUUCUAAAGCUAAAUAUUGGCGAGAGACCGAUAGCGAACAAGUACCGUGAGGGAAAGAUGAAAAGAACUUUGGAAAGAGAGUUAAACAGUACGUGAAAUUGCUGAAAGGGAAACGCUUGAAGUCAGUCGUCUCGGCGUGGACUCAGCCUUCGGGUGCACUUCCACUGUCGAGGGGCCAGCAUCAGUUUUGGGCGCCGAAGAAGGGCGCGGGGAAUGUGGCACCUUCGGGUGUGUUAUAGCCCCGCGUCGGGACGCGGGGCCUGGGACUGAGGACCGCUAUUUUAAUAGGAUGCUGGCGU